RNAcentral lists this ribosomal RNA (497 nucleotides) under uncultured bacterium. Its description in RNAcentral is "partial 16S ribosomal RNA". It matches the Rfam family "Bacterial small subunit ribosomal RNA", at positions 28 to 507 of the family's 1533-position model. The record is from RNAcentral.
GAUGAACGCUGGCGGCGUGCCUAAUACAUGCGAGUCGAGCGAACAGAUAAGGAGCUUGCUCCUUUGACGUUAGCGGCGGACGGGUGAGUAACACGUGGGUAACCUACCUAUAAGACUGGGAUAACUUCGGGAAACCGGAGCUAAUACCGGAUAACAUUUGGAACCGCAUGGUUCUAAAGUGAAAGAUGGUUUUGCUAUCACUUAUAGAUGGACCCGCGCCGUAUUAGCUAGUUGGUAAGGUAACGGCUUACCAAGGCAACGAUACGUAGCCGACCUGAGAGGGUGAUCGGCCACACUGGAACUGAGACACGGUCCAGACUCCUACGGGAGGCAGCAGUAGGGAAUCUUCCGCAAUGGGCGAAAGCCUGACGGAGCAACGCCGCGUGAGUGAUGAAGGGUUUCGGCUCGUAAAACUCUGUUAUUAGGGAAGAACAAAUGUGUAAGUAACUGUGCACGUCUUGACGGUACCUAAUCAGAAAGCCACGGCUAACUACGUG